This 895-nucleotide ribosomal RNA is filed under the name gut metagenome. Its description in RNAcentral is "bacterial SSU rRNA". It matches the Rfam family "Bacterial small subunit ribosomal RNA", at positions 499 to 1400 of the family's 1533-position model. The record is from RNAcentral.
AACUACGUGCCAGCAGCCGCGGUAAUACGUAGGUGGCAAGCGUUGUCCGGAAUUACUGGGUGUAAAGGGAGUGUAGGCGGGAUAUCAAGUCAGAAGUGAAAAUUACGGGCUCAACUCGUAACCUGCUUUUGAAACUGACAUUCUUGAGUGAAGUAGAGGCAAGCGGAAUUCCUAGUGUAGCGGUGAAAUGCGUAGAUAUUAGGAGGAACACCAGUGGCGAAGGCGGCUUGCUGGGCUUUUACUGACGCUGAGGCUCGAAAGCGUGGGGAGCAAACAGGAUUAGAUACCCUGGUAGUCCACGCCGUAAACGAUGAUUACUAGGUGUGGGGGGAUUGACCCCUUCCGUGCCGGAGUAAACACAAUAAGUAAUCCACCUGGGGAGUACGACCGCAAGGUUGAAACUCAAAGGAAUUGACGGGGGCCCGCACAAGCAGUGGAGUAUGUGGUUUAAUUCGACGCAACGCGAAGAACCUUACCAGGUCUUGACAUCAAGUGACCGCCUAAGAGAUUAGGCUUUCCCUUCGGGGACACAAAGACAGGUGGUGCAUGGUUGUCGUCAGCUCGUGUCGUGAGAUGUUGGGUUAAGUCCCGCAACGAGCGCAACCCUUAUCAUUAGUUGCUACGCAAGAGCACUCUAAUGAGACUGCCGUUGACAAAACGGAGGAAGGUGGGGAUGACGUCAAAUCAUCAUGCCCUUUAUGACCUGGGCUACACACGUACUACAAUGGCGUUUAACAAAGAGAAGCAAAGCCGCGAGGCAGAGCAAAUCUCCAAAAAACGUCUCAGUUCGGAUUGUAGGCUGCAACUCGCCUACAUGAAGUCGGAAUUGCUAGUAAUCGUAGGUCAGCAUACUACGGUGAAUACGUUCCCGGGCCUUGUACACACCGCCCGUCAA